UACCACUUGAGCCACAUGCUCCACUUUUGGCUUUUUGGUGAUUAAUUGGAGAUAAGAGUCUCAAGGACCUUCCUGCUUUGACUGGCUUUGAGUCUUGAACCUCAGACCUCAAGCUUCUGAGUAACUAACAUUACAGGUGUGAGCCACUGGCAUCUGGCUAACAAUGUCAAAUUUUAAACUCUACUUUUUGGGUAAGAUCAGCUACAAAAAGCUACUAAUAACCCAAGUAGUCCCUGUGAGCAAGAAAUUCUAUAGAAGUCUCCCAUUUAUACUUAAGAUUCUGGCCAUACUUGCAAAUCAUGUCAUGUUUGUUUUCAGACAUGAGUUUCCAUAAAAAUUCUAAAGGCAGCACAGGUACUGUAGGAAGAUAUACAGAAUUUGUCUGUAGCUCUGGAAAUCCCUGGUAUGAGGUAACAGCUCAGCAGCUAAGAACACGCAGUUUAAAAAGCAUUAGGUCAUGCUGUAGCAAAAUACAGAGUUUGGAGGCCAGACAGGGAGGGUGAAAAUUCUGGUGCUCUCACUUAAGGUAAAACAAUUAUAAUCCUAACCAUCAUUCCUAAAACAGAUAUUAAGGGCAAAGCACAUGAUUAAGCACAUUACAUAUUCCUAGUCUCAAAACUAAACUUAAGAAGCAAGUCUUAUAAUCUUCAUUUUAUAAAUAAAGACAUUGAGGGUUAGGGACACUCACUGUUUUACGUGGUCACAGAGCUAACAAACUUCCCUCUGAAGAAUUGAUACCUAGGCCUUUCUGUCUAUAAAGCCCUUCUCCUUUUUAUUAGCUUCCCACUUACCCUUUGCCAGCCCUCAAUUUUCUCAUUCAUAAAACAGAGUAAUGAUGCUUCCUUGAAGAAGCUUAAUAAUUUAAGAUGUCUUAGAUAAUGCUCAUGAUGCAAUAAACUCAGCACAAAUGCUAACUCAUCUUAACUUUUCAAAAAGAAUUGAAGGACAAGUUAGAUUUAGUAAAUAAAAACUCACUGUAUUAUAAUGAGAAAGUAUGGUAAAAUGGAGUCGAGAAAACAACACACUGCAGAGAUUAAGGCCAGGUGCUGGUGGCUCCUGACUGGAAUGCCAGCUACUCAAGGAAGUUACGAUCAGAGGACUGCAGUUUGAGCCAGCCCAAGCAGGAAGGUCUGUCUGACUCUGAUCCCAAAUUAAUACU
Molecule: long non-coding RNA, 1159 nt
Organism: Perognathus longimembris pacificus (Pacific pocket mouse)
Lineage: Eukaryota; Metazoa; Chordata; Mammalia; Rodentia; Heteromyidae
Exons: 2
Source: RefSeq, a predicted model, not a curated record